CAAUGAGUCUGACAUGUGUGCGAGUCAACGGGUGAGUAAACCCGUAAGGCGUAAGGAAGCUGAUUGGUAGGAUCCCUCACGGGUGCACUACCGACCGACCUUGAUCUUCUGAGAAGGGUUCGAGUGUGACUCUGGUGGAGGCCCGCAGCGAUACUGACGUGUAAAUCAUUCGUCUGACUUGGGUAUAGAGGCGAAAGACUAAUCGAACCAUCUAGUAGCUGGAUCCCUCCGAAGUUUCCCUCAGGAUAACUGGAGAUCGGAAACGAUUUCUAUCGAGUAAGGCCAAUGAUUAGAGGCAUCGGGGGCGCAACGCCCUCGACGUAUUCUCAAACUUUAAAUAGGUAGGACGGGGUGCUGCUUUGUUGAGCCAUCCCACGGAAUCGAGAGCUCCAAGUGGGCCAUUUUUGUUAACCAGAACUAGGGAUGCGGGAUGAACAAGAAGCCGGGUUACGGUGCCCAACUGUGCUCUAACCUAGAACCCACAAAGGGUGUUGGUCGAUUAAGACAGCAGGACUGUUGUAGGCACAGGGGGGGUAACCCACAAAUUGAUAGGUGGUUCGCUGACUGGUCGAUCCUAGAUAUGAUCUAGUGAUCUAUAUGAGCCGAAUGAAGGCUGAUCAAGAAAGAUGUACCUGAAACGAAUGCAAAAGGAUUAAAAUGAAUUAAACUAAGAACAAAACAGAGAAUGAGAAUAUGAUGGAAAGAUAGAAAGGAUGGUCGAAAUGGUGGAUGCAAUGGAGCUAAGCUUG
RNAcentral lists this non-coding RNA (749 nucleotides) under Brassica napus (rape). RNAcentral describes it as "Eukaryotic large subunit ribosomal RNA". It matches the Rfam family "Eukaryotic large subunit ribosomal RNA", at positions 667 to 1453 of the family's 3401-position model. Lineage: Eukaryota; Viridiplantae; Streptophyta; Magnoliopsida; Brassicales; Brassicaceae. The record is from Rfam by way of RNAcentral.